CCUACGGGAGGCAGCAGUGGGGAAUAUUGCACAAUGGGGGAAACCCUGAUGCAGCGACGCCGCGUGAAGGAAGAAGUAUUUCGGUAUGUAAACUUCUAUCAGCAGGGAAGAAAAUGACGGUACCUGACUAAGAAGCCCCGGAUAACUACGUGCCAGCAGCCGCGGGAAUACGUAGGGGGCAAGCGUUAUCCGGAUGUACUGGGUGUAAAGGGAGCGUAGGCGGCGAUGCAAGUCAGAAGUGAAAGCCCGGGGCUCAACUCCGGGACUGCUUUUGAAACUGUGUUGCUGGAUUGCAGGAGAGGUAAGUGGAAUUCCUAGUGUAGCGGUGAAAUGCGUAGAUAUUAGGAGGAACACCAGUGGCGAAGGCGGCUUACUGGACUGUAAAUGACGCUGAGGCUCGAAAGCGUGGGGAGCAAACAGGAUUAGAUACCCUUGUAGUC
This 440-nucleotide ribosomal RNA is filed under the name uncultured bacterium. Its description in RNAcentral is "partial 16S ribosomal RNA". It matches the Rfam family "Bacterial small subunit ribosomal RNA", at positions 338 to 795 of the family's 1533-position model. The record is from RNAcentral.